Molecule: ribosomal RNA, 468 nt
Filed under: uncultured bacterium
Lineage: Bacteria
Description: partial 16S ribosomal RNA
Rfam family: Bacterial small subunit ribosomal RNA
Source: RNAcentral
GACGAACGCUGGCGGCGUGCUUAACACAUGCAAGUCGAACGGAAAGGCCCUGCUUUUGUGGGGUGCUCGAGUGGCGAACGGGUGAGUAACACGUGAGUAACCUGCCCUUGACUUUGGGAUAACUUCAGGAAACUGGGGCUAAUACCGGAUAGGAGCUCCUGCUGCAUGGUGGGGGUUGGAAAGUUUCGGCGGUUGGGGAUGGACUCGCGGCUUAUCAGCUUGUUGGUGGGGUAGUGGCUUACCAAGGCUUUGACGGGUAGCCGGCCUGAGAGGGUGACCGGCCACAUUGGGACUGAGAUACGGCCCAGACUCCUACGGGAGGCAGCAGUGGGGAAUAUUGCACAGUGGGCGGAAGCCUGAUGCAGCAACGCCGCGUGCGGGAUGACGGCCUUCGGGUUGUAAACCGCUUUCGGCUGUGACGAAGCGUGAGUGACGGUAAUGGGUAAAGAAGCACCGGCUAACUACGUG